UCUUUUGUGGCAGAUUAGUGCAAUGAAUUUAAGAUUCAUUUAUAAAAUUUUAUAUUUUCUUUAGAA
Molecule: transfer RNA, 66 nt
Filed under: Cephalcia infumata
Lineage: Eukaryota; Metazoa; Arthropoda; Insecta; Hymenoptera; Pamphiliidae
Description: tRNA-Leu
Source: RNAcentral